This is a long non-coding RNA of Papaver somniferum (opium poppy), 588 nucleotides long. RefSeq lists it as uncharacterized. The record is from RefSeq and is a predicted model, not a curated record. The transcript is spliced from 3 exons. Lineage: Eukaryota; Viridiplantae; Streptophyta; Magnoliopsida; Ranunculales; Papaveraceae.
UGGAAAGCAGCUGAAUACUUGCGUCUAGUAUGCUUCAGCAAGUAGGUGGGUCAACACCAUAAGAUCAUUGAUGUGUUUUCUUUUCUUCCGUACAAGAGUCCUGGUUCUCACUAAACCAAAAACCAAGAAUCGUUCUCCUUCAUCACUCAUCACUUUAGUAGUACCAAGAAAAGAAAAGAGACAAGAUCAAGAUCAAGAGCAAUGAGUUUGUCAACAUUAAAAGAUGGAUCUGGAGCCCAUAUAACAGAUAUAUUUAUAGGUACAUUCAACUUAGUGGUGAUCCACGAUUAUAGAUUCGCCGUUGGCAGUGACACGAGCAGUUUAUGUUGGUUCACCUAAGAAAGUAGCAGUGGAUGAUCGUGGUGUGCCACUACAACAUCAAAAAGUAAACAUAGUUCACGAUUGUAUCGUGGUUAAUUCUGGGAGCCACGAAUUUGCUAAUACGGCAAGAGAUGAAUUGAGACAAAACUAGUCAUAAAAAUCCAAGUUGAUCAAACUUGUGGUACAAAAACCCCACUCAAAUGUUGGGAUCCAAUAAAACUCCAUCGUAAACAAAAUUGAUACAAAAAUCCCAAAUUUUUAAAAAUU